AUGGACAGAAGUUUUAGUUUGGGAAGAGUGGGUGACAGGGCUGUCUGCAAUGACCUUGUUGAAUCACACAGCAGCACCCCUUCCUCGGGGCUCCUGAAGCCGAUGCCUGGGCACCAGCUCUGCCAGCAGAGGGUGGCUGGAUUUCUACCCCCUCCAACCCAUCAACUGGUUGCCUUUGUGCAGUGCCCAACUUAUACAUCUGUUCGAGGCAUCCCUGGGCAUUCAGCGCCUGAAUCCAAUUUGAAGAAGCAGGAGCUGCGCCUGCCCUGGGAACUUCCUGUGCAAAGGUGCAGGUCAAGACUGCCCAGUUGCCAUGGUGACGGCCUGCUUAAAGGAGGAUCUGUGCUAGGCACGGGACUAUCAGUCUUGACCUUGAGUCCAGAUUCAGCUGCCAGGGAUGGAGAAUUAUGAGUGCAAAUUGAUCAUCAUAACUGGCCACUAGUCUCUGACCCUCAAUCCUGCAUGCUUUGCAGAAACUUUCACAGAAAACCUUUUUGAUGAUGAAACCUAAUAAUAAACCUGCUGAGCUAGCUCUGGGUCAUUGUUCCUCCAACAGAGGACAGUGUCUCCCCCUGGCCCUAGCUUUUUCUCUAUGUGGGUGUCUGUCUUUUCUCAAUCCCCCACUACGCCUCACAGGUUUCUGAAUUAACAGCCGUGCUGAUUGCGGGGACAGUGUCACAGCAGUAGCUGGGAACUCGAGGCACAGAUGGGCCAAGGCUGA
RNAcentral lists this long non-coding RNA (721 nucleotides) under Ictidomys tridecemlineatus (thirteen-lined ground squirrel). RNAcentral's name for it is "lncRNA (ENSSTOG00000034495.1)". The record is from RNAcentral. Lineage: Eukaryota; Metazoa; Chordata; Mammalia; Rodentia; Sciuridae.